Mercurialis annua (annual mercury) is the source of this 1179-nucleotide long non-coding RNA. RefSeq lists it as uncharacterized. Lineage: Eukaryota; Viridiplantae; Streptophyta; Magnoliopsida; Malpighiales; Euphorbiaceae. The record is from RefSeq and is a predicted model, not a curated record. The transcript has 4 exons.
UUCAACAUUUAACAAAAAAAAAACUCAGCCACCAUUCCUCCUUAGCAAAUCUGAGACCUCACCUACCUUCAUUCGUUUCAUCCUUUCCAAUCCGCAUCGUAUCGGUGGAUUUAUCGCAACUACAAUCAGACGACUUCAUUAUUGUUAAUCCUUACGUGUUUCAUAUCAAAUUGGCUUUGUUUAUCUUGUCAUUCGAACCUCAUCCCAUCUCUGAAUCAUCAAGCUUGUUGUUCUCCAAACGACCCGUCGACUGUUCGUACUUCAGAGGCGAACCAGAGUUAGAUUGCUUGUCAGGAUCACGUGGAUUUAGCAAGCAGUGAGUUUAUAUCUCUAUUUACCUCUUUAUUAAGCAACUAUUAUAUUUUGUAUGUAUAUAUAUGUAUAAACAGCUUUCGAACUGUUUUCCCGCAUUGUGGAUUUGAUUUGGAACGUGCUACUCGAUGGGCAUCAUCGGGACUGCGUGCGCACCGGUAAUGAUUAUGGUAUUGAGGUAGGUUUGAGAUACGUCUCACCUUAGUGAGGGCACCGGUGGAAGAUACGUCUCCUGGGCUCACUAUUUAUUAAGUGAUAGUCGGGGAUCGGUUAUUGAGAUACGUCUCACCGAUACGACAAUGGAUUUAGAAUUGUGGUUUAGGGUUUCAUUGAAAAUCCAUAAUGAAAAUGUUUUAUUAAACGUUUUAAAGGUUUUUAACUUAAUAAAUGUAAAUGGUUAUAUAAACUCUACUCAGUAAAUCUGACCCCGUUGUUUUCCCAAAUUUUCCAGGUUUAUGAUUUGAGCGUUUGGUCGAUCUCCGUUUCUUCAUUCUCGGAGGUUUUUAUUUUAUUUUCAGAAUAAAAGAGUCGAACUAUUUUAAACUCUUAGACCGCAGUAGUAGUUUCAUAUUAUUCUUGUCUUAGUCUUACGUUUAUAGUUUUGACUAUUGUUUGUUGGAUUGGUCCAACUAUUACUUUAUCGCUUUGGCAUGAUUACAGUGUUUAUGGUAUUUAUAUUAUAUUGCCAUACUGUUGGAGAUUAUUCUGAGAUAAGCGUACGUUAAAUAUAUAUAUUGCUCUAUGUACUUCUAGAUUAGGCCGAAGUCUCGGUUGCCCCCGAGCAUGUGGUUUUAUGCAGGUACAUUAUUUUAAAUGUUAUAAAUUGGUUAUCCGCAAGGCUAGCUACGGGUUUUGGUACAACCAUAC